AGCAGCCGCGGUAAUUCCAGCUCCAAUAGCGUAUAUUAAAGUUGUUGCAGUUAAAAGCUCGUAGUUGAAUUUCGGGAUCAAUAUGUUGGUCGUGCCUCGGUACGUACUAGCAUAUUGGUUUCUCCUUUCUGAAGAACCAUGAUGUCAUUUAUUUGGUGUCGUGGGGAAUCAGGACUGUUACUUUGAAAAAUUAGAGUGUUUAAAGCAGGCUCACGCUUGAAUACAUUAGCAUGGAAUAAUGAAAUAGGACGUUUGAUUCUAUUUUGUUGGUUUCUAGGAUCGACGCAAUGAUUAAUAGGGAUAGUUGGGGGCAUUAGUAUUCAAUUGUCAGAGGUGAAAUUCUUGGAUUUAUUGAAGACUAACUACUGCGAAAGCAUUUGCCAAGGAUGUUUUCAUUAAUCAAGAACGAAAGUUAGGGGAUCGAAGACGAUCAGAUACCGUCGUAGUCUUAACCAUAAACUAUGCCGACUAGGGAUCGGAUGAUGUUAAUUUUUAAUGACUCAUUC
RNAcentral lists this unclassified non-coding RNA (506 nucleotides) under uncultured Glomus. Its description in RNAcentral is "SSU rRNA". It matches the Rfam family "Eukaryotic small subunit ribosomal RNA", at positions 569 to 1081 of the family's 1831-position model. The record is from RNAcentral. Lineage: Eukaryota; Fungi; Glomeromycota; Glomeromycetes; Glomerales; Glomeraceae.